GACGAACGCUGGCGGCGUGCUUAACACAUGCAAGUCGAACGGGAUUUAGUAGACAGAAACCUCGGUGGAAGAUUACUAAUGAGAGUGGCGAACGGGUGAGUAACGCGUGAGCAACCUGCCUAUGACAGUGGGAUAGCCUCGGGAAACCGGGAUUAAUACCGCAUAAAAUCGUAGAAACACAUGUUUCAACGGUCAAAGAUUUAUCGGUCAUAGAUGGGCUCGCGUCUGAUUAGCUAGUUGGUGAGAUAACAGCCCACCAAGGCGACGAUCAGUAGCCGGUCUGAGAGGAUGAACGGCCACAUUGGAACUGAGACACGGUCCAAACUCCUACGGGAGGCAGCAGUGGGGAAUAUUGCACAAUGGGGGAAACCCUGAUGCAGCGACGCCGCGUGAACGAAGAAGGUAUUCGUACCGUGAAGUUCUGUCCUAUGGGAAGAUAAUGACAGUACCAUAGAAGAAAGCUCCGGCUAAAUACGUGCCAGCAGCCGCGGUAAUACGUAUGGAGCGAGCGUUGUCCGGAAUUAUUGGGCGUAAAGGGUACGCAGGCGGUUUAAUAAGUCGAAUGUUAAAGAUCGGGGCUCAACCCCGUAAAGCAUUGGAAACUGAUAAACUUGAGUAGUGGAGAGGAAAGUGGAAUUCCUAGUGUAGUGGUGAAAUACGUAGAUAUUAGGAGGAAUACCAGUAGCGAAGGCGACUUUCUGGACACAAACUGACGCUGAGGUACGAAAGCGUGGGGAGCAAACAGG
Molecule: ribosomal RNA, 746 nt
Filed under: uncultured Finegoldia sp.
Lineage: Bacteria; Bacillati; Bacillota; Tissierellia; Tissierellales; Peptoniphilaceae
Description: bacterial SSU rRNA
Rfam family: Bacterial small subunit ribosomal RNA
Source: RNAcentral